Molecule: ribosomal RNA, 253 nt
Filed under: uncultured bacterium
Lineage: Bacteria
Description: partial 16S ribosomal RNA
Rfam family: Bacterial small subunit ribosomal RNA
Source: RNAcentral
UACAGAGGUCUCAAGCGUUGUUCGGAUUCAUUGGGCGUAAAGGGUGUGUAGGUGGCGCGCUAAGUCGGGUGUGAAAUUUCGGAGCUUAACUCCGAAACUGCAUUCGAUACUGGCGUGCUUGAGGACUGGAGAGGAGACUGGAAUUCAUGGUGUAGCAGUGAAAUGCGUAGAGAUCAUGAGGAAGACCAGUGGCGAAGGCAGGUCUCUGGGCAUUAACUGACGCUGAGGAGCGAAAGCAUGGGGAGCGAACAGG